UCAAAUAGUAUAGAAUUUCAGAGUUUACAUAAUCAAGAGAUAUCACAUGAAAUAACAUAAUAUGUUUUAGGAAACAUUUAUCUUUAAAUAGAUUCGACGCGCCCAUUCGACUCUCUACGCGCCUCCUAUAUCAAUCACCUGAAACUGUUGAAUAUGGGAUGAGCAUACAGGUUACACUCAGUGUGGGAACAUGCAAUAAUUGUCCAUGUUAAUAAAAUGGUAACACAUAUUGUCAUAACGUAACAUAAAUUCCAUACGCACUGUGGCAAUCCAAGGACUUUAAUGUCCCGGACCCUAUAUGUGGGCCCCUGGCGACAAUAUAAUGGUUGCAACCCUGUAACAUGAAAUCGCAUUGUGGCAUACCAAGGACGGUGAAGUCCUGGACCAAUUAUGCUGGCCCCUAGCGAUAAAUAUUUUUACAACACAUACGGUAAACACAUAAUAUUAAAAUGGACAAAUAUUAACCACGUGCAUGUACUGAAAUAAAUCCCACACCUGGAAAUUUAACUUGAACUUGAACUUCAACUUGAAUGCUAACUUGAGUAAUACAAUUAAAAUUCAUAUCCUAGUCGCGCCGCACCUAGUCAGAUAAAUUCAAAUAAUAACAUAUAAGGGCCUAUUUGAACUUUAAAAUAAUUUAAACUUUAUGAAUUUAUUCUAUAAGAUAAUGUAGAAAUCGAGAAAGCUAUAUCAUAUUUGAUUUUUUAAAACCAAAUUGAAAGUGUAUUGGAAAUAUUCGUAGACUUUUGGCAAAAUAUCUAUUACUUAAUUUAAUUAAAAUGCAUAGAAACUGAUUUACCGAAAGAACGAGAACAAAAUAACUAAAUAUAUGUAAUCAUCCCACUAACUAUAUGAUUAAAUUCUUAAUCCAUAAGAAGAGAAUAAAUGUUNCAGAUUAAAUUUUGAAGUUGAGUCAGUGUAAAAACAGAGCAUGUUUUGAUGAUGUUUGAUUGUGAUUCUUAUGUGCCUUAUGUGUUUGUGUUGCCUAUGUGUUUGAAUGAGAUUAGACGAGGUAUGAUUGAUUUUUGACUGUCUUUAAUGUAACGAAUUAUGGAUGCUAGAACCCUAAAACAUUAAAAGAUACCCUAGGCACGUAGAAUUAGACUUUGUCUUAUGACAAUUUCUUCACGAACUUAUCGACUCUUCAUCAAUGAAGGUCCGGGCGACAGAAAGUGAAGCCGAAGAAGAAACGACUCCACGCCAGCUUUAAGAACAAUUGAGGUGGGCAUUAUUUUAUUAUUACGUAUAUAGAGAUCCCCUGCGUGUCGUAGGCCUCUUAUGCGAAUAUAUGCAUGAUAUGUUUUGACUGUUAUUUUGAUCUUAUUAUAUGCUUAUAUGUUUAAUGCUCUUUAUGAAAAUGAAAUGUUAUGAAAAUGAAAUGUUUAUGAAUGAUUGACUGCCAAAAUGUUUAUGUUUUUAUAUGUAUCCUAUCUGUGUUGGUUCGCCAACUUUAAAGGAAAUCCAAUUGGGAUCCUAUGCUAGACAAAGGUCGCUAGCUAGGGUUAACGUGUACACUCAUGGAGACCGCGAGUCGCUUGCGACCGGUCUUGGCGUCCGUGGUAAGGAGGCCUCCUUCCCGGCGCGUGACAGAAAGGACAGAUAUGGAUCAUAUAGACUGAAAAUGGGAUACGCAUCCACCUUUAUGAAAAUGAAUGAAAUGUUUUAGUAAGCGCAGGUCAUUCAAGAAAACCCCUGUGUGUUACUGUUGGCAGUUCAAUUUAUAUAUGUAUGCAUGUUGUAUUUUUGGCUUAUGUCACUGAGUAUUUUUAUACUCAGCCCUGCAUGUAUUUCUAAAUGUGCAGGUUGAGCAGGCGAUGGAAUGGAUCGGUGUUGAGCGGAUUUCCCUUUUGAUGUUUAUGUAAUGAAACCUUGAGUAUGCAUCUCCAUAUGCAUAACUCACACGUUUUUUCGCUGCAAACACUCUGACUUAUUUAUCAUUUCUACUUGAACUUAUUACUACUUCAUUUUAAUUAACUUUCAGUUGGGGUCUAGUCGUUAUGGCAGACUCAUUUGUGAAUUACCCAAGUGGUUAUAUAUAUAUACCACUAGUUUGUUAUUAAUGUUGGUUACUUAGUAAAUCCCCUUUAAUUUCCGUUUCUUAUUGUUCACCCCAAGUCAUAACCCCGGUUAACCCGUCAUUGGGAUAGUGGGCUGUGACAAUUCGUCUAAUAGAAAAGACAACGGGAACAAACCUCAGAAAAUGGGGAAUACUUCAAGAGCUCCGGCCUAACCAUCGCCCUUAAGUAAACCGGGAUUUUCUGAAGCGAAAAGGACAGUACGAAAAAAGAACCCAAGCAGAGAACUGACCAUCCCUCACAGAAAUCCGAAGCAGAGAUCUACAAAAAAAAGCUACUAAUCGAAAGAAAAACAGCAACGAAACCAAAAGAAAGAGCAAAAUUCGUCAAUAGCCAAAGAGCGCUAUCAUCAACGACUCGAAGCCGAUAACGCGAAAGCAUUAUCGCCGAGCUACCAACAAGGUCCGACCCCUCUUGUAACACCCUAAUCUAAUUAAGAAGUUAAAUAUAAAAUUUAAAUAAAUAUUUAAUGCGGAAGUCUUAAAAUAAUUUAAAACUCACUUUUAAAAUAAAUAUUUUCGAAAAUAAUUUUAAGAAAAAGAAAUCUUUAAAUAAAAUUGGUUUUUAAAGCACUUUUAAAACGAUUUAUAAGAUAUCAAAAUUUUCAAUAAUGUAUUCAAAUAUAAAACUUGAUUUUGAAUUCAUAAAUUUUAACAACUUUAUUUUCAAAGCACGACAUGAAGAUGUCAGAAAAAUAAUUAACUAAUUAAUAAAACUUUUACUAAGGAAAAACUCUAAGUAUAAAAUAAUAUCUUUUUAGCAGCGGAAAAUAUAACAAAAUAAAAUCUUUAUAUGAUUAAAAAUUAUGUAUGUAUCCAUGUAUAUAUUUUCGUAAAGGUAUAAAUUCUUAAAUAAAUAUUUGAAAUGAAUUUAAAUAUAAAUUAAACAAGUCAUAAUAUAAUAACAUUUAUUUAAACAAAUCACACACAAAUCUCAAAUAGUAUAGAAUUUCAGAGUUUACAUAAUCAAGAGAUAUCACAUGAAAUAACAUAAUAUGUUUUAGGAAACAUUUAUCUUUAAAUAGAUUCGACGCGCCCAUUCGACUCUCCACGCGCCUCCAUAUCAAUCACUGAAACUGUUGAUAUGGGAUGAGCAUACAGGGUACACUCAGUGUGGGAACAUGCAAUAAUUGUCCAUGUUAAUAAAAUGGUAACACAUAUUGUCAUAACGUAACAUAACUUCCAUACGCACUGUGGCAAUCCAAGGACUUUAAUGUCCCGGACCCUAUAUGUGGGCCCCUGGCGACAAUAUAAUGGUUGCAACCCUGUAACAUGAAAUCGCUUUGUGGCAUACCAAGGACGGUGAAGUCCUGGACCAAUUAUGCUGGCCCCUAGCGAUAAAUAUUUUUACAACACAUACGGUAAACACAUAAUAUUAAAAUGGACAAAUAUUAACCACGUGUAUGUACUGAAAUAAAUCCCACACCUGGAAAUUUAACUUGAACUUGAACUUCAACUUGAAUGCUAACUUGAGUAAUACAAUUAAAAUUCAUAUCCUAGUCGCGCCGCACCUAGUCAGAUAAAUUCAAAUAAUAACAUAUAAGGCCUAAUUAAACUUUAAAAACGACUAAAAUUUAAAUAUGAUAAAUAUGUUCUUUGAUUUAUUUGCUUGAAAUCGAGAAAGCUAUAUCAUAUUUGAUUUUUUAAAACCAAAUUGAAAAGUGUAUUGGAAAUAUUCGUAGACUUUUUGGCAAAAAUAUCUAUUACUUAAUUUAAUUAAAAUGCAUAGAAACUGAUUUACCGAAAGAACGAGAACAAAAUAACUAAAUAUAUGUAAUCAUCCCACUAACUAUAUGAUUAAAUUCUUAAUCCAUAAGAAGAGAAUAAAUGUUAAGCCCAAAUGUUUUUUUUUUUUUUAAAAGCCCAUAACCCAUCUAACAAAUCCCUAAUUUAAAUCUCAUACCUCAACACCCACGCAUAACCUCACUCUCCCUCUCACUGCCGCUCUCUCUCUUCUCUCCACCCCUCUCUCUCCCUCUCGGCCUCCUACCACCGCGCCACCGGACGGCCGGCGACUCUGCCUCCCCCUGUCCUCUCUCUUCCCCUUCAUCGACUUCCCUCCCUCACUCUCCUUUUUCCUCAUCUGCUGUUGUCUCCCUUCUACCCCUCUCCUCGCCGCGCCAAGCCGCGGCCGCGCCUCCAUUUCCGGCGACCCUCGCCGCCACCACCUCCUGCCCGGCGUCACCCUCACCUUCCUUCUCCCUUCUAGCCGAUAGCAGUACCACCAUCGCCGCCCCUGCGUCGACAGCGGCGCCGCCCAGGCCCCUUUCUCGCUGCCCCGAUCAGAACAGCACAGCAGCGGCCGUGGCCACCGCGCCGCCGCCCUUGUCCCCUACCUCUCAGGUCGCCGUGGCGCGUAGCGCCGGCGGCAACACUCCAGAAUUCCUUCUUCAUCUCUAACCCUUUUCUUUUAUCCUAUGUAAUAUAUAAGAUUUAUUCUAUUUUCUUUUUCAUGUAUUUAGCAAUAUAUAAAUUACAGAAAAAUAGAUGUAUGCAUGAUUGGAUUUUGAAAACAAAGUUUUUGAUGUUUAGCCUUGGUUUUGGCGAAAAUGCAGAAAAUUGUUGAUAUGCUUGAAAUGAAAUAACUUUUCAAAAGUUAUUAAAAUUACCAGCUUGAAUGAGUGAAGUAAAUCAGUUGCUGCGAAUUGGAAAUAUUUGAGUGAAUUUUUGUUGAUUUGUGAAUUUGAGAAUGAUACAUUGAUGUUUAAAUAGAUUGAAAUAUUUGACAUAGAACGUGUGAAAGUGUGAAAAGAGAUCAAUCAAACUUUGUUGCUUCAAAGUUUGCUGCUUCAAAAUUUGCUGCUGUGGAAAUCAAAUUUGGCUUGCUGAUCAAAGUUUGCUUUUGAAUCUUCUGUUUGCUUUUGAAUUGAAGAUGUUGGGGAUUUUGGAAUUUGAGAGUAAAAUGAAUUGUGAGAGUUUAAAGAUUAUUAAAAAUUAUCUCUGCACAAAAUAUGGGAUACAGUAGUGAACUGGAGAAGAAUGAAAAAUUUACAGAAAUAAUAAAAUUACCUUGUGCAGAGAAAAGAGCACAAAUAAUUUUAAAGCUUGCUGUGUUUUUGGCAUGUUUCGAAAAAUCAGAUGAUGAAGGCCGAUGCUUUAAAUAGGAAAGUUUGAUACUUGUUGUUUUAAAAAAAAUGAUGUGGCCAAAGAUGAGAGAUAGAAUUGU
This 5240-nucleotide long non-coding RNA is filed under the name Salvia miltiorrhiza (redroot sage). RNAcentral's name for it is "long non-coding RNA (SMIL_LNC011989)". Lineage: Eukaryota; Viridiplantae; Streptophyta; Magnoliopsida; Lamiales; Lamiaceae. The record is from RNAcentral.